CCGAGUCUCCGUGUAAGACCCGUUGGUCAAGCUCGAACCUGCAUACAAAACACACACACAAGAAACACACAGGAAACCCACCUUGGCUACUGGCUACAAAGGCUAUCCAGCACCCCUAGCUAUCUCCCCAAAAACGCUAACUAAAAACUACCCGAAAACACUCUUUUUUCUCGGUUUCUCUCUCUAACUCACCUCUCCCUCUCUAAGGUAAGCUCUCACGGUUUUGAAUGAGAAAAAUGAAAGUGAGGGGUCUGGUAUUUAAAGAAAUGGAGGACUGAGGCUGGGCUGGACAAAUGGCACACAUGCAUUAGGAAAAAUGGACACAUGUCCCACUACGAAACUUCCGCGGCAAGUAACCUUGCCUCCGGAAGGUUUUUACCUUUCUCCCCAAGUUUUCCCGUUGCUUGGUUGCCAACUCUCGUCUUCUAGAAGCUUUGUAACUUGGUCGCCAAGUCUUCUUCCAGCCAAUGAGAGUUUGCCACGCGUAUUGCUCCGUCACUCCUCCAAAUCCAAUCGGUGGUGGCCAUGUCAUCGCGUCUUCACUUUCUUCGCCAUGUCAACAACUUCUAAACCUCUUCUUCAAAUGAGAAAAUUCAUUCCUUGAUUUACUUAGAUAAUGCUUCUCCUUCUUUGGUUUAAAAACGUCGAUCUCCUCUUGCUCGGUUUUUAUCGAUUUUCUCGUACCGGCAGAAAACUGUCUUUCGACCAUGACCGUUCCUCGUUUCGACCACGACUAAGGUCAAGGCCUUUGACUUUUCUACUUAUGAGCAGGGUCAUUACAUUCUCCCCCAC
Molecule: long non-coding RNA, 792 nt
Filed under: Brassica napus (rape)
Lineage: Eukaryota; Viridiplantae; Streptophyta; Magnoliopsida; Brassicales; Brassicaceae
Description: long non-coding RNA (BNAP_LNC002120)
Source: RNAcentral